UCCCUCAAUUUCAUGCUCAGUGAGCUCGCU
RNAcentral lists this non-coding RNA (30 nucleotides) under Rattus norvegicus (Norway rat). The record is from RNAcentral. Lineage: Eukaryota; Metazoa; Chordata; Mammalia; Rodentia; Muridae.